GAUGAACGCUAGCUACAGGCUUAACACAUGCAUGUCGAGGGGAAACGACAUUUAGUGCUCGCACCGAAUGGGCGUCGACCGGCGCACGGGUGAGUAACGCGUAUCCAACCUACCCAUUACUGUGGGAUAACCUGCCGAAAGGCAGACUAAUACCGCAUAGUCUUCGAUGACGGCAUCAGAUUUGAAGUAAAGAUUUAUCGGUAAUGGAUGGGGAUGCGUCUGAUUAGCUUGUUGGCGGGGUAACGGCCCACCAAGGCAACGAUCAGUAGGGGUUCUGAGAGGAAGGUCCCCCACAUUGGAACUGAGACACGGUCCAAACUCCUACGGGAGGCAGCAGUGAGGAAUAUUGGUCAAUGGGCGCGAGCCUGAACCAGCCAAGUAGCGUGCAGGAUAACGGCCCUAUGGGUUGUAAACUGCUUUUGUAUGGGGAUAAAGUCAAUCACGUGUGAUUGUUUGCAGGUACCAUACGAAUAAGGACCGGCUAAUUCCGUGC
This 493-nucleotide ribosomal RNA is filed under the name uncultured Prevotella sp. RNAcentral's name for it is "bacterial SSU rRNA". It matches the Rfam family "Bacterial small subunit ribosomal RNA", at positions 28 to 508 of the family's 1533-position model. The record is from RNAcentral. Lineage: Bacteria; Pseudomonadati; Bacteroidota; Bacteroidia; Bacteroidales; Prevotellaceae.